Molecule: small nucleolar RNA, 120 nt
Filed under: Nitzschia inconspicua
Lineage: Eukaryota; Bacillariophyta; Bacillariophyceae; Bacillariales; Bacillariaceae
Description: Small nucleolar RNA SNORA11
Rfam family: Small nucleolar RNA SNORA11
About the family: U107 (SNORA11) is a member of the H/ACA class of snoRNAs that guide the sites of modification of uridines to pseudouridines. This snoRNA was identified by RT-PCR from blood cells and its expression confirmed by Northern blot analysis.
Source: Rfam by way of RNAcentral
UGGGCGCUUUCGAAAGCGCCCAUAAAAAAUAUGGGCGCUUUGGAAAGCGCCUAUAAAAAAUAUGGGCGCUUUCGAAAGCGCCCAAAAAAAAUAUGGGCGCUUUGGAAAGCGCCCAUAAAA